AUAUUAUGGAGGCCUAAGGAAAAAAGUGCAGCCUGACUCGGUGACAAAAGUGUGACAGGACAAGGCUGCCUGCUGAUAUUUAAAGCUCAGAGGUGGAGAGGAGGGCUUCUUCCAGACUGAGCAAGAAGCUGUAAAUAGAAAAAUGGCACACAUUUAAAGAGGUGCUGCAUUUGACAACUCUCAGCCUCUGUAAGAUGUGUGUUGUUUUUUUAAGGCAAUCUGUUCCUACCCUUAAUUAGGUAAGUGGCAUAUCCUAUUCUACAUUGGUUAUUCAUAUCUGAUACACAUAUUUAAAUUUAGCAGUAUGUCAAGUAGGGGCUAGACACCUGUAAUAAGAGACAGUAGAGAAAUAUAAAGUGAACCAAAGCUUCAGACUCUUACAUCUGCUUCUAACAGGCUGUCCUGCAAAACAGAGGCGUCCUAGAUUGUGCUGCUGAACAGUUUAAAGAAUCAGUGCAAGCUUCUUGCUUAAUUCUGUUUAGCUGAAGCCAUGGACACAUGUCCUCCCACAACCACAGAUGUGUUUGCUAAUGAAGCACUGUAAGCUC
Molecule: long non-coding RNA, 548 nt
Filed under: Coturnix japonica (Japanese quail)
Lineage: Eukaryota; Metazoa; Chordata; Aves; Galliformes; Phasianidae
Description: lncRNA (ENSCJPG00005000774.1)
Source: RNAcentral